CGAGUUUGAUCCUGGCUACAGAACGAACGCUGGCGGCAUGCCUAACACAUGCAAGUCGAACGAGACCUUCGGGUCUAGUGGCGCACGGGUGCGUAACACGUGGGAAUUUGCCUCGGGGUAUGGAAUAACUCAGGGAAACUUGAGCUAAUACCAUAUAAUGUCUUCGGACCAAAGAUUUAUCGCCCUGAGAUAAGCCCGCGUAGGAUUAGCUAGUUGGUGAGGUAAAGGCUCACCAAGGCGACGAUCCUUAGCUGGUCUGAGAGGAUGAUCAGCCACACUGGGACUGAGACACGGCCCCAGACUCCUACGGGAGGCAGCAGUGGGGGAAUAUUGGACAAUGGGCGAAAGCCUGAUCCAGCAAUGCCGCGUGAGUGAUGAAGGCCUUAGGGUUGUAAAGCUCUUUUACCCGGGAAGAUAAUGACUGUACCGGGAGAAUAAGCCCCGGCUAACUCCGUG
Molecule: ribosomal RNA, 456 nt
Filed under: uncultured bacterium
Lineage: Bacteria
Description: bacterial SSU rRNA
Rfam family: Bacterial small subunit ribosomal RNA
Source: RNAcentral